GACGAACGCUGGCGGCGUGCUUAACACAUGCAAGUCGAACGGAAAGGCCUGCUUUCCCUUGUGGAUUGCGGGUACUCGAGUGGCGAACGGGUGAGUAACACGUGAGUGAUCUGCCCCCAACUUGGGUAUAAGCCUGGGAAACUGGGUCUAAUUCCCGAUAGGACUGCAGGGUGGUGCCUGUGGUGGAAAACGAUUUUCUAGUGGUUGGGGAUGAGCUCGCGGCCUAUCAGCUUGUUGGUGGGGUAAUGGCCUACCAAGGCGGCGACGGGUAGCCGGCCUGAGAGGGUGGGCGGCCACAGUGGGACUGAGAUACGGCCCAGACUCCUACGGGAGGCAGCAGUGGGGAAUAUUGCACAAUGGGCGGAAGCCUGAUGCAGCGACGCCGCGUGGGGGAUGACGGCCUUCGGGUUGUAAACUCCUUUCGACCGCGAGGAAGCCACCUGGUUGGAAGGGUGGUGACGGUAGUGGUAGAAGAAGCACCGGCUAACUACGUG
RNAcentral lists this ribosomal RNA (494 nucleotides) under uncultured bacterium. RNAcentral describes it as "partial 16S ribosomal RNA". It matches the Rfam family "Bacterial small subunit ribosomal RNA", at positions 28 to 507 of the family's 1533-position model. The record is from RNAcentral.